Molecule: ribosomal RNA, 447 nt
Filed under: uncultured bacterium
Lineage: Bacteria
Description: partial 16S ribosomal RNA
Rfam family: Bacterial small subunit ribosomal RNA
Source: RNAcentral
GCCAGACUCCUACGGGAGGCAGCAGUGGGGGAUAUUGCACAAUGGGGGGAACCCUGAUGCAGCGACGCCGCGUGGGUGAAGGAGCGUUUCGGCGCGUAAAGCCCUAUCGGCAGGGAAGAAGGAGGACGGUACCUGACUAAGAAGCCCCGGCUAACUACGUGCCAGCAGCCGCGGUAAUACGUAGGGGGCAAGCGUUAUCCGGAUUUACUGGGUGUAAAGGGGGCGCAGCCGGAGAGACAAGUCAGAUGUGAAAUCCACGGGCUCAACCCGUGAACUGCAUUUGAAACUGUUUCCCUUGAGUGUCGGAGAGGUAAUCGGAAUUCCUUGUGUAGCGGUGAAAUGCGUAGAUAUAAGGAAGAACACCAGUGGCGAAGGCGGAUUACUGGACGAUAACUGACGGUGAGGCGCGAAAGCGUGGGGAGCAAACAGGAUUAGAUACCCGUGUAC